This 292-nucleotide ribosomal RNA is filed under the name uncultured bacterium. RNAcentral's name for it is "partial 16S ribosomal RNA". It matches the Rfam family "Bacterial small subunit ribosomal RNA", at positions 505 to 796 of the family's 1533-position model. The record is from RNAcentral.
GUGUCAGCAGCCGCGGUAAUACGUAGGUGGCAAGCGUUGUCCGGAUUUAUUGGGUUUAAAGGGUGCGUAGGCGGCCUUAUAAGUCAGUGCUGAAAUAUCCCGGCUUAACCGGGAGGGUGGCAUUGAUACUGUAGGGCUUGAGUAAAGUUGAGGUUGGCGGAAUUGACGGUGUAGCGGUGAAAUGCUUAGAUAUCGUCAAGAACACCGAUAGUGAAGACAGCUAACUAAGCUUUAACUGACGCUGAGGCACGAAAGUGUGGGGAUCAAACAGGAUUAGAAACCCCCGUAGUCC